Molecule: ribosomal RNA, 301 nt
Filed under: uncultured bacterium
Lineage: Bacteria
Description: partial 16S ribosomal RNA
Rfam family: Bacterial small subunit ribosomal RNA
Source: RNAcentral
CAGUCGCCGCGGGAAUACGUAGGUGGCAAGCGUUGUCCGGAAUUAUUGGGCGUAAAGGGCUCGCAGGCGGUUUCUUAAGUCUGAUGUGAAAGCCCCCGGCUCAACCGGGGAGGGUCAUUGGAAACUGGGAAACUUGAGUGCAGAAGAGGAGAGUGGAAUUCCACGUGUAGCGGUGGAAUGCGUAGAGAUGUGGAGGAACACCAGUGGCGAAGGCGACUCUCUGGUCUGUAACUGACGCUGAGGAGCGAAAGCGUGGGGAGCGAACAGGAUUAGAUACCCCCGUAGUCCCUGUCUCUUAUAC